RNAcentral lists this ribosomal RNA (441 nucleotides) under uncultured bacterium. RNAcentral's name for it is "bacterial SSU rRNA". It matches the Rfam family "Bacterial small subunit ribosomal RNA", at positions 73 to 518 of the family's 1533-position model. The record is from RNAcentral.
CCUCGGGAUGAAAAGUGAGGAAGAAAGUGGCGAACGGGUGAGUAACGCGUGGGCAACCUACCUCACGGAAAGGGAUAGCCUCGGGAAACCGGGAGUAAAACCAUAUAAGACCACAGCGUCGCAUGACGCAGGGGUACAAAACUCCGGUGCCGUGAGAUGGGCCCGCGUCCCAUUAGCUAGUUGGCAGGGUAAAGGCCUACCAAGGCGACGAUGGGUAGCCGGUUUGAGAGGGCGAACGGCCACAUUGGAACUGAGACACGGUACCAAACUCCUACGGGAGGCAGCAGGUGGGGAAUAUUGCGCAAGUCGGGGGAAACCCUUGACGCAGCAAUACCGCGUGAGCGAAGUAAGGUUUUCGGAUACGUAAAGCUCUGUUAUCGGGGAAGAAGAAGUGACGGUACCCGAUGAGGAAGUCCCGGCUAACUACGUGCCAGCCGCCGC